CAACAACUAGAGUCACUAAAUAAGCGUAGCUUAUUUAGUGACUCUAACAACAGCCGGACGCCGAACAUCGUGCGCGGACGAUCGUUGAGGAAGAAGGACGAAGUGGUCGUUGUAAAUCUCGUGAAUGCACGUAGCCAGGUAAGCACAUUUCUGUUCGCACAUCCUGUUCUUUGCGAUUUGAGCGUGGUGCACCGUAUGCCUUGUUUUUGUUGAACUUAUGGGACACCAGUAAAUCGUGGCGUUUGCUGUGAGGCUUCUCCCUAGUUUCAGAUCUCCGUGUGUCAUGCGUCCUGGCUCGUAGGGUGAUCAAGGCGCUCUUAUUGUAAUGUAUCGUUGCGGAAGGUGCCCUUGUGUUUUUAACACUCUGAUGGGCUACGUUGACCACUGUAGACAUGUACAUGAAGCGAGCAGAAUACCGUGUUGUCAUGCAUUAUGUGUGUACACGGCGGCGAACUAUGCAACACUCAGAUGUCACAUUUUGGGACGUUACAAGAACACAUCAGGACGGUCGCCUCGAAUCGAUUUGCUCUCCAAAACCACGAAAGUAUGUCACGUCCAUUCGUGCUCGCGUCAGUUCACUACGAAUAUAGAGAUAGUGUCACAUAUGAAGCAGCACAUACGAGAGGGUCAUGAUCAGAUGUCCUUAUGAACGCUGCCAGAAGAAGUUCCGUGCCGUCUCCGCGUUUUGUGUGCACCUUCAUAUGUUCUUCCAUUGAAAAAAUAAAACAGUGAGUAUAAUCUCCUUUCUCUUUGCAGUGUUUCGAUGCCAGAGCUGACUGAUGGGUGCACAUGGCUCCUUCGAAUGUUCUUCCUUUGAAAAAAUAAACGAGUUUUGACGCCAGAGCUGACUGAUGGGUGCACAUGGUUCCUUCGAAUGUUCUUCCUUUGAAAAAAUAAACGGGUUUUGAUGCCAGAGGUGAUUGGCGCAUUUUCAUCACUAUGUACAUAGAAAAUAAAUCCCGAUGUGACAAACAUCACAAUGUGUUACGCAUGGUCAUUACUUAAACUGCUCUCAUU
Molecule: long non-coding RNA, 1017 nt
Organism: Ornithodoros turicata
Lineage: Eukaryota; Metazoa; Arthropoda; Arachnida; Ixodida; Argasidae
Exons: 3
Source: RefSeq, a predicted model, not a curated record